GACGAACGCUGGCGGCGUGCUUAACACAUGCAAGUCGAACGGUGAAGCGCCUUCCUUUUUGGUUGGUGUGGAUGAGUGGCGAACGGGUGAGUAACACGUGAGUAACCUGCCUCCUUCUUCUGGAUAACCGCAUGAAAGUGUGGCUAAUACGGGAUAUGCCGGGUCUGUCGCAUGAUGGGUCUGGGGAAGAUAUUGCUUCGGUGGGGGCUGGGCUCGCGGCCUAUCAGCUUGUUGGUGGGGUGAUGGCCUACCAAGGCGAUGACGCGUGGCCGGCAUGAGAGGGUGGACGGUCACACAGGGACUGAGAGGCGGCGCAGACUCCGACGGGAGGCAGCGGUGAGGAAUAUUGCACAAUGGGAGCAAGCCUGAUGCAGCGACGCGGCGGGAGGGAUGGAGUCCGUCGGGUUGUGAACCUCUUUCGCGAGUGAAGCAGGCCUGCCUCGUUUGUGGGUGGGUUGACGGUAGCUGAAUAAGAAGCGCCGGCUAACUACGUG
RNAcentral lists this ribosomal RNA (494 nucleotides) under uncultured bacterium. RNAcentral describes it as "partial 16S ribosomal RNA". It matches the Rfam family "Bacterial small subunit ribosomal RNA", at positions 28 to 507 of the family's 1533-position model. The record is from RNAcentral.